Populus nigra (black poplar) is the source of this 2831-nucleotide RNA transcript. It is a transcript of the gene named IAA-amino acid hydrolase ILR1-like 3, with no coding region annotated. NCBI's taxonomy places the organism in Eukaryota, Viridiplantae, Streptophyta, Magnoliopsida, Malpighiales, Salicaceae. The transcript is spliced from 6 exons. The record is from RefSeq and is a predicted model, not a curated record.
AAACAAGCCAAAGUCCAAGACUUGCAGGUCUGGAGUCGAAGGCAGUCCACUAAGCUUAGGGAGACAUGACUUUCUAUUUGUCUGUUGGUAUGUGAGAGGACAUAGGGUAACCCUAAAGAGAACACAGGAAAUGUCAUUAGUUAUUUACGGAAAGCAAAUUACUUGUAAUGCUGUGCUAAGAAGAGGGGCAACAUUGUCAGGUGAGGACUAGAAUUUCGGAACAAAAAUAAAUAAUGGGGUGAGAGAGGCUCGAACUCUCGACCUCAGGAUCGCUCUUUAGCUAUGAGACCUACGCGCUAGCCAACUGCGCCACCACCCCAUGUUGUUCCCUUUGCAGAAAACAAAUUCCAGAUACUGAAACAUACUAAUGAAAGACUAAUGAUCUACAAAGUUUGUCAUUUUCAAUCUUCUUAGUCAUUUGCCGACAACUCCCUCACUUGAAUCUUCUUGUUGUAGUUCAUUAAUCCUGUACGUUGCGAAACUUGUUUUUAUCACUUUGAGAAUUGAAUUACAGUAGAACUAGCAAUAAAGAUGGGAACUUUUUUGUAUUUGAUACUAUUCCAAGUCCUUCUUUCAGUACUUGUAUGUUUUGAUUCGUCUCAGUCCACUUUCGAUCGGCAAACCUAUAGAGAACAUCUUCUAAGCUCAUCCCAACGAGACAAGGACUGGUUAAUAACCAUUAGAAGACAAAUUCAUGAGAAUCCAGAACUCAGAUUUGAGGAACACAAUACCAGUGCUCUUAUUAGAAGUGAACUUGAUAAACUUGCUAUUUCUUACACAUACCCACUUGCCAAAACUGGGAUUGUUGCUCAAAUUGGCUCUGGUUCACCUCCUGUUGUUGCUCUUCGUGCUGACAUGGAUGCACUUCCCCUGCAAGAGCUUGUGGAGUGGGAGCAUAAGAGUAAAGUUGAUGGAAAAAUGCAUGGAUGUGGUCAUGAUGCUCAUACCACUAUGCUCCUUGGUGCUGCUAAGUUGCUUAAUGAAAGGAAACAUCUGCUUAAGGGAACGGUGAGACUUCUUUUCCAACCUGCUGAGGAGGGAGGUGCUGGUGCAUCACAUAUGAUAAAAGAUGGUGCCCUUGGUGAUGCUGAAGCCAUAUUCGGGAUGCACGUUAAUUACAAGAUACCCACUGGAACCAUAGCAUCCUUGUCAGGGCCAGUCUUUGCUGCAGCAUCCCGCUUUCAAGUAAAAAUAGAAGGCAGAGGUGGGCAUGCUGCAGUACCCCAUAAUACUGUGGAUCCACUACUUGCUGCAUCAUUUGCAAUUUUGGCAUUGCAACAGCUCAUCUCUAGAGAACUGGAUCCCCUCCAGAGUCAGGUUCUAUCUAUUACGUAUGUCAGAGGAGGGACUACCUUGAAUGUAAUUCCACCAUAUUUUGAAUUUGGGGGCACCCUGAGGAGUCUUACGACUGAGAGCUUACAUCAACUCCAGCGGAGGUUGAAAGAGGUUGUUGAAGGCCAGGCAGCUGUCCACAGAUGUCAUGCGCACGUAGACAUGUAUGAAAAGGAAGAUGUUCCCCUAUAUCCUGCUACCGUGAAUGAUGAAAAAUUGAAUUUGCAUGUUGAGACGGUUAGUAGACUUCUUUUUAAUCCAGAGAAUUUCAAGAUGGGUCAGAAGGUGAUGGCAGCUGAGGACUUUUCCUUCUAUCAAGAAGUGAUUCCUGGAGUCAUGCUCGAUAUUGGAAUUAGAAAUGAAAACGUGGGUGCAAUUCACUCCCUACACUCACCUUACUUCUUUCUUGAUGAGGACGUUCUUUCAAUUGGGACAGCAUUGCACACUGCCCUGGCAGAGAUUUAUCUGAAUGAGCAUCAACAAUUUGCAGCACAGUAGAGAAUAAGACAUCAUAAGAGCAUGGAAGAUCAUGAAUAAGUUAAUAGUGGUCCAUGCUAUAAAGUCUCUAUAUGUAGUGGCAGGAUAUGUAAAAAUCAGGGGAAAAAAAGAAGAAGUAAUGAAACUCUUGAUUCUAGAUCACCAUCCAGUUCUGGUUAAUGCAAUCACCUCUUUCUGAAGAAGAUUCUGGUGAGCAACCUGGAUACGGGUGCAGCUAUUUUGUUCUGCAGAAGUGCCAAAAGCUGCUUCAAGCUCCCUGUCCAGAUCCAAAUCAACUUCACAAACGUGCCUUGUAUUUUGUUUGCAUUCUUUGCAUCCGGACAGGUAUUAUUUAUGAUCAUACAUGCAUUUGAUGAGGUCAUUGUGAAUGGUAUUCCAUGGCUGUAGAGGGCUGAAAAGAUGAUAGAAGCAGAGUUUGGGCAGCUACAAGACUUGCAAAACAAGUUUCUUUAUGGGUUCAGGACUCUUUGGACUAUUUGGAGAUAAAAAGAGUAGAAGUGGCAAUGGACUGCUGUAAAAGCUACUCCAUUUUAGGUUGGAUGGGAUGCCUAUUUUUAAUAACUAGCAUUGGACAAAUUCUUGAAGUGACACGUGCUUGGGACUCUAUGGUAUCAAUGAAGAUUCACAUCCAGAAUAGAAGGCUCCGACGGUGGGCAGGGUAUUCAAUGAAUGUUAUGCUGGCGAGAGGGCUGGGAAUAUGGCACAGGGUUUAUCUAGUAUGAUCUGCUAUAACCUUGUCACGGAAGAGGCCAUGUUUGCUGCACAAUUUGAGUUCAGGAUGCCUUUCUGCAAAAUGAAAUGUAUCUUUAAAGUGAGAGGCUUGUGAAGACAUCCCAAUGGAGCAUAGAGGAAAGCAGGCAAGGUCAAUACACCUAAUUUAGAAGUUAGCACUAAUAAAUGAACAUCAACAUGAAGGUUAGAUGUAGUUCAGGUUCCUUGAGGGUCCUAAUGAAUGAACAUCAACAUGAAAAAAAAAUUCAUGAAGGUUACAAUUGCUACAA